This 253-nucleotide ribosomal RNA is filed under the name uncultured bacterium. RNAcentral describes it as "partial 16S ribosomal RNA". It matches the Rfam family "Bacterial small subunit ribosomal RNA", at positions 524 to 776 of the family's 1533-position model. The record is from RNAcentral.
UACAGAGGGGGCAAGCGUUGUUCGGAAUUACUGGGCGUAAAGGGCGCGUAGGCGGCCUGUUAAGUCGAACGUGAAAUCCCCGGGCUCAACCCGGGAACUGCGUCCGAUACUGGAUGGCUUGAAUCCGGGAGAGGGAUGCGGAAUUCCAGGUGUAGCGGUGAAAUGCGUAGAUAUCUGGAGGAACACCGGUGGCGAAGGCGGCAUCCUGGACCGGCAUUGACGCUGAGGAGCGAAAGCCAGGGGAGCAAACGGG